Molecule: transfer RNA, 74 nt
Filed under: Salmonella enterica
Lineage: Bacteria; Pseudomonadati; Pseudomonadota; Gammaproteobacteria; Enterobacterales; Enterobacteriaceae
Description: tRNA-Lys
Rfam family: tRNA
About the family: Transfer RNA (tRNA) molecules are approximately 80 nucleotides in length.
Source: RNAcentral
GGGUCGUUAGCUCAGUUGGUAGAGCUUGACUUUUAAUCAAUUGGUCGCAGGUUCGAAUCCUGCACGACCCACCA